GGUCGCUUAACUCAGUUGGUUAGAGUGUCGUACUAAUAUACCCGGUUCCCCGGUGUUCUGAUAUGCGAAAGUCGCCAGUUCGAUCCUGGUAGUGACCA
Plectosphaerella plurivora is the source of this 98-nucleotide non-coding RNA. NCBI's taxonomy places the organism in Eukaryota, Fungi, Ascomycota, Sordariomycetes, Glomerellales, Plectosphaerellaceae. The record is from the annotation of a GenBank genome assembly.